RNAcentral lists this ribosomal RNA (1923 nucleotides) under human gut metagenome. RNAcentral's name for it is "bacterial LSU rRNA". It matches the Rfam family "Bacterial large subunit ribosomal RNA", at positions 934 to 2841 of the family's 2925-position model. The record is from RNAcentral.
GGUUACCGAACCCUGUCAAACUCCGAAUGGUUAUACUGUAGAGCUUGGGAGUCAGACUACGAGUGAUAAGAUCCGUGGUCAAAAGGGAAACAGCCCAGACCACCAGCUAAGGUCCCCAAUGUCGUACUAAGUGGAAAAGGAUGUGGGGUCUCUAAAACAACCAGGAUGUUGGCUUAGAAGCAGCCACCAUUUAAAGAGUGCGUAAUAGCUCACUGGUCGAGAGACCCUGCGCCGAAGAUUACCGGGGCUAAAGUACGAAACCGAAGCUGUGGCUACGACGUAAGUCGUGGGGUAGGGGAGCGUUCUGUGAGGGCUGAAGUCGUUCUGUAAGGAACGGUGGACUUCACAGAAGUGAGAAUGUUGGUAUGAGUAGCGAAAAGAAUGGUGAGAAUCCAUUCCACCGAAAGCAUAAGGAUUCCUGGGCAACGAUCGUCGUCCCAGGGUAAGUCGGGACCUAAUCCGAGGCAUGGAGCGUAGGAGAUGGACAACUGGCAGAUAUUCCAGUACCGGUAAUGAUUGUUUGAGCGAUGGAGUGACACAGGAGGGCAGGCAGGCAGGAGAUUGGUUGUUCCUGUACAAGCGUGUAGGAUGGGUUGCAGGCAAAUCCGCAACCUGUGAGUCUGAGGCGUGAUGUGGAGGUUCCGGAAACGGAACUGAAGCUGCUGACCCCACACUGUCGAGAAAAGCUUCUAGUUAGAGAAUUACCGCCCGUACCGUAAACCGACACAGGUAUGCGGGGAGAGAAUCCUAAGGUGCGCGGGAGAACCCUCGUUAAGGAACUCGGCAAAAUGUACCCGUAACUUCGGGAUAAGGGUAGCCGCUGUUGUGAAGUCUGAACAGACGGAGCAUGAGGCGGUCGCAGAGAAGAGGCCCAAGCGACUGUUUACCACAAACACAGGUGCCUGCUAAAGAGAAAUCUGACGUAUAGGUGCUGACACCUGCCCAGUGCCGGAAGGUUAAGGAAGGAUGUCCGGAGCAAUCCAAAGCAUUCGACCGAAGCCCCGGUGAACGGCGGCCGUAACUAUAACGGUCCUAAGGUAGCGAAAUUCCUUGUCGGGUAAGUUCCGACCCGCACGAAAGGUGUAACGAUUUGGGCACUGUCUCAACGAGGGACCCGGUGAAAUUGAAGUACCUGUGAAGAUGCAGGUUACCCGCGACUGGACAGAAAGACCCCAUGGAGCUUUACUGUAACCUGACAUUGGGUUCUGAUACAUCACGUACAGGAUAGGUGGGAGGCAUGGAAGCGAGGACGCUAGUCUUCGUGGAGCCGCCGUUGGGAUACCACCCUUGAUGUAUCGGAAUUCUAACCGUAGGAGUAACGAAACUCGGGACAGUGUCAGGCGGGCAGUUUGACUGGGGCGGUCGCCUCCCAAAGAGUAACGGAGGCGCCCAAAGGUUCCCUCAGCGCGGCCGGAAAUCGCGCGAAGAGUGUAAAGGCAGAAGGGAGCUUGACUGAGAGCCAAACACGGCGAUCAGGUACGAAAGUAGGGCUUAGUGAUCCGGUGGCAUCCAAGUGGAAGGGCCAUCGCUCAACGGAUAAAAGCUACCCUGGGGAUAACAGGCUAAUCUCUCCCAAGAGUCCAUAUCGACGGGGAGGUUUGGCACCUCGAUGUCGGCUCAUCACAUCCUGGGGCUGAAGUCGGUCCCAAGGGUUGGGCUGUUCGCCCAUUAAAGUGGUACGUGAGCUGGGUUCAGAACGUCGUGAGACAGUUCGGUCCCUAUCCAUCGCGGGCGCAAGAGAUUUGAAGGGGGCUGCUCCUAGUACGAGAGGACCGGAGUGGACGAACCAAUGGUGUACCAAUUAUCUCGCCAGAGGUAUAGUUGGGUAGCUACGUUCGGAAAGGAUAAACGCUGAAAGCAUCUAAGCGUGAAACCAGCCUUAAGAUGAGAUCUCUCAUAGAGUAAUCUAGUAAGACACCUUGG